ACUAACAGUUCCAUUACAUUGGUAAAGGAGUGCCAUUACGUCAACAAUUCGUGCAGUACAAAAAUAGCAGUGCAAAGCACUUAAUGUGGCAUGUCGUUGUUGAGAAAUUGACGGCGGUGAAGAAACUAAUGAUAGGGAGGACCGUAAGACGUGAUUUUACUCGAACAGCCCCAUCGAUUCCAACAGUUGCUUGAAAAAUUGGCAAAGACCGAAUUUGGAAAACUCCUUUUGUCAAAAGCAAUACAAUUUCAGGCAGAUGGUUCUUACUGUUCAGUUAACAAACCAGCAUAUAGGCAAAAACAAAUCCUUUCUGGAUCUUGACGAAGAAGUUGAGCCCUAGAGAUACCUCUGAGAAAUCAAAGUUGAGAAAGAAGAGAACAAAUUUAUUCCACACCCUGCAAGACUAUCAUGUUGAUUUACAGCUAAAGUUUUCGGUGACAUGGGUGCCUGUCGGUGCCUGUGACAAUUGGGAUAAAAUGGUCGAAUAAUCCAGUAGGGCAACCUGUAUCUUUCAAAUCCAAGGAAAUCCUAUUAGAAAGGUAGAAAGGUGAAUAAGUGGCUGUACGAUGUCCACCAGGUAGCGCGAGUGUCUUCAGGGACGCUUAUCGGCCAUUUUGAUUAUUGAUCCAAGACGCAGCCGAAAUGGGUUGUUGGUUGUGACGUUUCUCACGAUGAAAAUUAAAAGGUGAUUGAGCACGUAGAAACCAAUUUGCCAAAUCAUUCAACUCAGACUUGGAAGUGCCUGUAAAAGUACAUUUCCGAAAUGGCGUGCCUCGUGUGUCUCGCUGCCUGCCUUAGACGUACGUCUCAUCCCAUGCAACAGCAAAAAGUGUAACAAACACUUCUUUAACGGUGUUGGUUACCUUGUUGCAGUCAAAUGGUGAAAGGUGUGACAAAGAUAGAUUGAACCAUUGUAUGCAGCAUGCGGUUGCAAUGUAAUCCAGAAGUUGCUAUGCUGUUGUAGCUGAGCUGUUCCAUCUGGGUUCCUGACUUAAACAAUUUUUUGUUGUCAUUUUCAUCCAUGCCAUAUGAAAUUGCUCUGCCAGUGAUAUUUUGUGUUGCCGAGUUAAAAGUUUGAUCUGUUGUCUUUUGAGUUUUCAUUCAAUCAUGCAGUAUACGACUGAGGCAACCUGAUCAAUAUCAGGUUUGACACAGUCGAGA
This is a long non-coding RNA of Daphnia pulicaria, 1161 nucleotides long. RefSeq lists it as uncharacterized. The record is from RefSeq and is a predicted model, not a curated record. The transcript has 6 exons. NCBI's taxonomy places the organism in Eukaryota, Metazoa, Arthropoda, Branchiopoda, Diplostraca, Daphniidae.